This 371-nucleotide long non-coding RNA is filed under the name Vigna radiata. Its description in RNAcentral is "long non-coding RNA (VRAD_LNC013943)". Lineage: Eukaryota; Viridiplantae; Streptophyta; Magnoliopsida; Fabales; Fabaceae. The record is from RNAcentral.
AAUUAAUUGUUAAUUGUCAUUUAGUCAAAACAAUUGUUAGGAUUAAAUUAGGCUUGUUGGUUCACUUGGUUUUAAAUUAANUUAAUUAAUAGGUUGAGUUUAUGUGUUUGAGUUAGUGUUGCAUUUAAUUAUUUUUAACUGUGUUUGUUAAUUUGUUUGCAAGAGUAUUUGAUGUUGAAUGUUGUCUAAGGUUUUUAAUAGUGUUAGUUUAAUUACCAUGCUAGCUUAAAUUAGUUUGUUGCAUCUGUGUCUUUAUAUUGAGUUCUUUAAUUUUUGCAAAACCUUUUCAACCCCCCCCCUUUCCGUGUUAGAUUCAAUUCUUGAACUGCAAAAUUGGUCCUUGAGAGACGACCUAGGAGUCACUUCCUAGU